CUCGUAGGUGGUUUGUCGCGUUGUUCGUGAAAUCUCACGGCUUAACUGUGAGCGUGCGGGCGAUACGGGCAGACUUGAGUACUGCAGGGGAGACUGGAAUUCCUGGUGUAGCGGUGGAAUGCGCAGAUAUCAGGAGGAACACCGGUGGCGAAGGCGGGUCUCUGGGCAGUAACUGACGCUGAGGAGCGAAAGCGUGGGGAGCGAACAGGAUUAGAUACCCUGGUAGUCCACGCCGUAAACGGUGGGUACUAGGUGUGGGUUUCCUUCCUUGGGAUCCGUGCCGUAGCUAACGCAUUAAGUACCCCGCCUGGGGAGUACGGCCGCAAGGCUAAAACUCAAAGAAAUUGACGGGGGCCCGCACAAGCGGCGGAGCAUGUGGAUUAAUUCGAUGCAACGCGAAGAACCUUACCUGGGUUUGACAUGCGCAGGACGCCGGCAGAGAUGUCGGUUCCCUUGUGGCCUGUGUGCAGGUGGUGCAUGGCUGUCGUCAGCUCGUGUCGUGAGAUGUUGGGUUAAGUCCCGCAACGAGCGCAACCCUUGUCUCAUGUUGCCAGCGGGUAAUGCCGGGGACUCGUGAGAGACUGCCGGGGUCAACUCGGAGGAAGGUGGGGAUGACGUCAAGUCAUCAUGCCCCUUAUGUCCAGGGCUUCACACAUGCUACAAUGGCCGGUACAAAGGGCUGCGAUGCCGCGAGGUUAAGCGAAUCCUUUUAAAGCCGGUCUCAGUUCGGAUCGGGGUCUGCAACUCGACCCCGUGAAGUCGGAGUCGCUAGUAAUCGCAGA
Molecule: ribosomal RNA, 782 nt
Filed under: uncultured Mycobacterium sp.
Lineage: Bacteria; Bacillati; Actinomycetota; Actinomycetes; Mycobacteriales; Mycobacteriaceae
Description: bacterial SSU rRNA
Rfam family: Bacterial small subunit ribosomal RNA
Source: RNAcentral